Molecule: ribosomal RNA, 253 nt
Filed under: uncultured bacterium
Lineage: Bacteria
Description: partial 16S ribosomal RNA
Rfam family: Bacterial small subunit ribosomal RNA
Source: RNAcentral
UACAGAGGCCUCGAGCGUUAAUCGGAGUCACUGGGCUUAAAGGGUGCGUAGGCGGUUCUUCAAGUGCCUUGUGAAAUUCCACAGCUCAACUGUGGAAUUGCUCGGUAGACUGGAGAACUUGAGGUUGGUAGAGGUUACUGGAACUCUAGGUGGAGCGGUGAAAUGCCUAGAUAUCUAGAGGAACACCGAACGUGAAGACAGGUAACUGGGCCAAUUCUGACGCUGAGGCACGAAAGCGUGGGGAGCAAACGGG